UCCACACCUUGUUGGGUGUGCAGGCAGGAGACAUAUGCAUUGCAUUCAUAUGCAUUCAUGAGAAGUAUGUUAUUGAAGGGAUUUUAUCCACGUUAUUAUGAAGCUCUGUAUUAUUGGCUAUGUUCCAAAUUGGAAGACUGUUACUUUAAUAUGAUAUUAUGUCAAUUGGGAACACCAUAUUAAAUUGAUGUUAAUUCAAAUUAUGGUUUAAAUAGCUUGUCAAAACAAGUUCGCUUGCUGAGAUGUUUCAUCUCACCCUUGCUUUACUCAAUCCA
RNAcentral lists this long non-coding RNA (275 nucleotides) under Sorghum bicolor (sorghum). RNAcentral's name for it is "long non-coding RNA (SBIC_LNC001291)". Lineage: Eukaryota; Viridiplantae; Streptophyta; Magnoliopsida; Poales; Poaceae. The record is from RNAcentral.